CCUACGGGAGGCAGCAGUAGGGAAUCUUCCACAAUGGGCGAAAGCCUGAUGGAGCAACGCCGCGUGGGUGAAGAAGGUCUUCGGAUCGUAAAACCCUGUUGUUAGAGAAGAAAGUGCGUGAGAGUAACUGUUCACGUUUCGACGGUAUCUAACCAGAAAGCCACGGCUAACUACGUGCCAGCAGCCGCGGUAAUACGUAGGUGGCAAGCGUUAUCCGGAUUUAUUGGGCGUAAAGGGAACGCAGGCGGUCUUUUAAGUCUGAUGUGAAAGCCUUCGGCUUAACCGGAGUAGUGCAUUGGAAACUGGGAGACGUGAGUGCAGAGGAGGAGAGUGGAACUCGAUGUGUAGCGGUGAAAUGCGUAGAUAUAUGGAAGAACACCAGUGGCGAAAGCGGCUCUCUGGUCUGUAACUGACGCUGAGGUUCGAAAGCGUGGGUAGCAAACAGGAUUAGAUACCCUUGUAGUC
RNAcentral lists this ribosomal RNA (465 nucleotides) under uncultured bacterium. RNAcentral describes it as "partial 16S ribosomal RNA". It matches the Rfam family "Bacterial small subunit ribosomal RNA", at positions 338 to 795 of the family's 1533-position model. The record is from RNAcentral.